GGCCUAACACAUGCAAGUCGAGGGGUAUAUUUCUUCGGAGAUAGAGACCGGCGCACGGGUGCGUAACGCGUAUGCAAUCUACCUUUUACAGAGGGAUAGCCCAGAGAAAUUUGGAUUAAUACCUCAUAGCAUUGCAGGAUGGCAUCAUUCAGCAAUUAAAGUCACAACGGUAAAAGAUGAGCAUGCGUCCCAUUAGCUAGUUGGUAAGGUAACGGCUUACCAAGGCUACGAUGGGUAGGGGUCCUGAGAGGGAGAUCCCCCACACUGGUACUGAGACACGGACCAGACUCCUACGGGAGGCAGCAGUGAGGAAUAUUGGACAAUGGGCGCAAGCCUGAUCCAGCCAUGCCGCGUGCAGGAUGACGGUCCUAUGGAUUGUAAACUGCUUUUAUACGAGAAGAAACACUCCUUCGUGAAGGAGCUUGACGGUAUCGUAAGAAUAAGGAUCGG
RNAcentral lists this ribosomal RNA (450 nucleotides) under uncultured Flavobacteriia bacterium. Its description in RNAcentral is "bacterial SSU rRNA". It matches the Rfam family "Bacterial small subunit ribosomal RNA", at positions 45 to 496 of the family's 1533-position model. The record is from RNAcentral. Lineage: Bacteria; Pseudomonadati; Bacteroidota; Flavobacteriia.